UUGCGCUACCUGGUUGAUCCUGCCAGUAGUUAUAUGCUUACUUCUGAGAUUAAGCCAUGCAUAUUCUAGUAUGAGUUUUUAACUGAAACGAUGGACGGCUCAUUAAAAAGGUGUUUAGCCCUAUCUUUCAUUUGAAAUAGCGGACUUGCUUGGGAAAUCUAAGCCUAAUACGUGUAGUUUUACUAAAAAAAGCUGAGCUUUUUGUUGCAAAGUGUCACAAUUUUGUUAGAUUGUCGCUUUAGUCUUAGUAGUUUUGCUACAGUCAGAAAGGUGGAAUUCCUACCUAUCAGCGAGACGCUGUGGUAGUUUCACAGCGGUGCUUCAACGGGUAACGGAGAAUUAGGGUUUGAUUCCGGAGAGGGAGCCUGAGAAAUGGCUGCUACAUCCACGGAUAGCAGCAGGCGCGCAACUUAUCCAAUCUUGUGAAAGGGAGGUAGUUAGGAAGAGUAGUGGGAACAGCUUUAUAGCCGUUUACUGCAAUGGGGUGUCAGUGUAAAAGGUUCUGAGAAACAACUGGAGGGCAAGCCUGGUGCCAGCAGCCGCGGUAAUUCCAGCUUCAGUAGUGUAUAUUAACGUUGUUGCGCUUAAAAGAUUCGUAGUUGAUUGGGUUAACGUAGCUGGUUUACUUCUUAGAAGAAAACCUUUUCGUAUUGUUGCUUUGUAAGAAUUUUUAGAGCCGUGAUUUAUUAAUAUUGCUUAAAAAUAGCUGUUGCUAUUGUUUGUCGCACGGUAUUGCUCUUCAGAGUUCCUAGCAUCAUUUGUUCUACGAAGCAAAAGUUGCAUGAGAACUGCUUAUGAUUAUGAGGGUUAAGGGAUGAAACCUGAACGUAGGUGUUAGAGGUGAAAUUCUUGUACCACCUAUUGUCGAACUGCUGCGGAAGCGUCUUUCAUCAAUAUGCUCGUUGAUCAAGAUUGAAAGUUGAGGGAUUGAAGACGAUCAGAUACCGUCGUAGUCUUUACUGUAAACUGUGCCAACUGCCACGUGGUCUUUUUUGGAAGUAUCACUUCGGCGAAAGAAAUUUGAGUUUUUUGGCUGUGGGGGGAGUAUGGUUGCAAGACUGAAACUUAAAGAAAUUGACGGAAGGGCACCACAAGGAGUGGAGUUUGCGGCUUAAUUUGACUCAACGCGGGUAACCUUACCAGGUCACGCAAUAGGAAGGAUUGACAAGUUGGUAGGCUUUUCUUGAUUCUAGAAAUGGUGGUGCAUGGCCGUUCUUAGUUGGUGGAUUACUCUGUCUGGUUUAUUCCGAUAACGAACGAGAUCGCUUUGGUGCGAAGGGACUUUCACAUUUUUGUGGAUGAUCCAAGUGUAGAGACUCUGCAAGAAAUUGUAGGGAAGUGGCGGCAAUAACAGGUCUGUGAUGCCCCUAGAUGUCCUGGGCGGCCCGCGCACUACAAUGCAAAUAUCCGAGGGUUAUUGUUGCGAAAGUAAUUUUGGUCUCCUUUUAAUUGUUUGCUUGAUGGGAUAGACAAACGCAUUUUUGUCUUGAACGAGGAAUUCCUAGUAGCCCUGCUUCAUAAGAGGGGGGCGAAUGCGUCCCUGCCCUUUGUACACACCGCCCGUCGCUUCUACCGAUGAACGUGUUGGCAAAAACGGCUAGUUAUGCUACUGUGAUGGCUUGUGUUUCUGGUAGUUUAAGCCUUCACGUUUAGAGGAAGGAAAAGUCGUAACAAGGUUUCCGUAGGUGAACCUGCAGAAGGAUCA
This 1705-nucleotide ribosomal RNA is filed under the name Trichotokara japonica. RNAcentral's name for it is "bacterial SSU rRNA". It matches the Rfam family "Eukaryotic small subunit ribosomal RNA". The record is from RNAcentral. Lineage: Eukaryota; Apicomplexa; Conoidasida; Eugregarinorida; Lecudinidae.